RNAcentral lists this transfer RNA (90 nucleotides) under uncultured Acidimicrobiaceae bacterium. RNAcentral describes it as "tRNA-Thr". The record is from RNAcentral. Lineage: Bacteria; Bacillati; Actinomycetota; Acidimicrobiia; Acidimicrobiales; Acidimicrobiaceae.
UGCAUCAUUGCAAAUGAUUGCGCUUGCGCCUGGUGGGCGUGGCGGAACAAUCGUUUCUAUUCCAGUCGGUGCAGCAUCGGUUGUUGCUGC